This 253-nucleotide ribosomal RNA is filed under the name uncultured bacterium. Its description in RNAcentral is "partial 16S ribosomal RNA". It matches the Rfam family "Bacterial small subunit ribosomal RNA", at positions 524 to 776 of the family's 1533-position model. The record is from RNAcentral.
UACGUAGGGACCAAGCGUUGUUCGGAUUUACUGGGCGUAAAGGGCGCGUAGGCGGCGCGGUAAGUCACUUGUGAAAUCUCUGAGCUUAACUCAGAACGGCCAAGUGAUACUGCAGUGCUAGAGUGUGGAAGGGGCAAUCGGAAUUCUUGGUGUAGCGGUGAAAUGCAUAGAUAUCAAGAGGAACACCUGAGGUGAAGACGGGUUGCUGGGCCAACACUGACGCUGAGGCGCGAAAGCCAGGGGAGCAAACGGG